AUUUCCUGUCAAUAUGCACAUCUACAUAGUAUGUCCUUAUUAUCUACACAGUUUCAUGAAAUUCUGUUGUGUGGUUUGAGAGGAGUUGCGAUGACAAAUGGUUGCAGUAGUAUAUUGGGCAAAUAAGUUCAAAGGGGCGUAACUCCUGGAAAAAAAAUUGAAUCGUAAUUUCCUGUCGAUAUGCACAUCUACGUAGUAUGUCCUUAUUAUCUGAAAAGGUUUCAUGAAAUUCUGUUGUGUGGUUUGAGAGGAGUUGCAAUGACAAAAGGUUGCAGUAGUAUAUUGGGCAAAUAAGUUCAAAGGGGCAUAACUCCUGGAAAAAUAAAAUGCUUCGCUGGGCGCAGCUUGAUACGACCGCAGAGGUCGAACCCUGAACAGUUGGGGCAAGUAUGGACACAACAUUCAAGCUUGAAACAGCUCUGAAUUUGGAUUGUGAUUAAAAUAUUUGACACAGCAGAGGUUUCUGACACAGAAAGAAUGUGGUCUACGAACUUCAAUUUUUUUAAUUUACCUAUUAUGGUCCAAUGUCCAAAAUCAAAAUACAUGGUUAGAUUCAGCAUAUCAAAGAACCCCAUUUAUUCAAUUUUUGUUGAAAUCAAACAAAGUUUAAUUUUGGACCCCAACUUGGACAAACUUGAAAACUGGUCCCAUAAUCAAAAAUCUAAACACAUGUUUAGAUUCAGCAUAUCAAAGUACCCCAAGAAUUCAAUUUUUGUUAAAAUCAAACUAAGUUUAAUUUUGGACCCUUUGGACCUUAAUGUAGACCAAUUUAAAAAACGGGACCCAAAAUUAAAAAUCUAAAAACACGGUUAGAUUUGGCAUAUCAAAGAACCCCAAUAAUUCAAUUUUUGAUGAAAUCAAACAAAGUUUAAUUUUGGACCCUUUUGACCUCAAUAUAAACCAAUUUGAUAGCGGGCCCACAAAUAAAAAAUCUAAAUACAUGGUAAGAUUCAGCAUAUCAAAGAACCCCAUAUAUUCAAUUUUUGUUGAAAUCAAACAAAGUUUAAUUUUGGACCCCAAUUUGGACCAACUUGAAAACUGGGCCAAAAAUCUAAAAUCUAAAUACAUGUUUAGAUUCAGCAUAUCAAAGAACCCCAUAUAUUCAAUUUUUGUUGAAAUCAAACAAAGUUUAAUUUUGGACCCCAACUUGAACCAACUUGAAAACUGGUCCCAUAAUCAAAAAUCUAAACACAUAUUUAGAUUCAGCACAUCAAAGAACCCCAAAAAUUCAAUUUUUGUUAAAAUCAAACUAAGUUUAAUUUUGGACCCUUUGGACCUUAAUGUAGACCAAUUUAAAAAACGGGACCCAAAAUUAAAAAUCUAAAUACACGGUUAGAUUUGGCAUAUCAAAGAACCCCAAUAAUUCAAUUUUUGAUGAAAUUAAACAAAGUUUAAUUUUGGACCCUUCUGACCUCAAUAUGAACCAAUUUGAUAGCGGGCCCACAAAUAAAAAAUCUAAAUACAUGGUAAGAUUCAGCAUAUCAAAGAACCCCAUAUAUUCAAUUUUUGUUGAAAUCAAACAAAGUUUAAUUUUGGACCCCAAUUUGGACCAACUUGAAAACUGGGCCAAAAAUCAAAAAUCUAAAUACAUGUUUAGAUUCAGCAUAUCAAAGAACCCCAUAUAUUCAAUUUUUGUUAAAAUCAAACAAAGUUUAAUUUUGGACCCUUUGGACCUUAAUGUAGACCAAUUUGAAAACUGGACCCAAAAUUAAAAAUCUAAAUACACAGUUAGAUUCGGCAUAACAAAUAAAUAAAUGUGGUCAAAGAUUUUACAAA
Molecule: long non-coding RNA, 1776 nt
Organism: Mytilus californianus (California mussel)
Lineage: Eukaryota; Metazoa; Mollusca; Bivalvia; Mytilida; Mytilidae
Exons: 2
Source: RefSeq, a predicted model, not a curated record